AUUAAUUGCUCUAUCUGGAAAUCUCCAAUCAGAACCGUUUGUAAAUACCCUAGAACGAGUUCAUGGAACAUUGCAAAGGAUGAAUAAUGAGUAUCUAAGAUCAGCUCUUGACUACCUAGAAACACUGCCAGAUAUAACAAUUGCCAGGAGAACACCGGACACUUACCAUUGCCCAAACCUAAGUAUCAACAAAUGGACACAACUGUCUUUAUAUGAUGCAUAUUUUGGAUGGGGUCGACCAAUAUACAUGGGUCCAACAAACGUUGUCCAUGAAGGAAAAAUAUGUAUACUACCAAGUCCAACCGAUGAUGGGAGCUUGUCAUUGGUAACAUGCCUACAGACUGCUCAUAUGAAACUCUUCGAGAAACAUCUAUACGAAGGCUUGAAGUCAUUUGACAAGAUCAAAGCUCGAUAUUAGUUGUUUGUUCUCUCUAUCAAUAUAUGUAUAAACCUAUAAAUCUUCUACUUCUGUUUCUUUAACUAAGACUUUUUGUUUGGAUCCUGUUUAUUUGAAAUUUACCAUCUAAGUUGGCCUGGCAAACAGGUGUUUUAUUGGUAAUUAUUGUACUAUACCUCAAUAAUAGUAAUAGCAUUGAUCGCAAAGAAAUAAUAAAUUAAAAUAAGAAUACACAGAUUUUACGUGGAAAAGUCUUAUUAGAAAAAAAAUCACAGGCAGAGUAAAAAUUUACUAAUGUUGAAAAGCAACAAUACAAGAAGUUUUUUUACUACACACGUUUUAACGGUUAAAUAACAUUUUUAUAAUCAAUGUCUAAUAGAAGAUCGCUCCCACAUAUCCCCCAAAUUUGCAAUUCUAUUUUAUUUCUUUAACAAACAAGUUGCACCUCGAAUUUUUCUGACUGGAUCAAACGGGGUUCAAAUCAAACAGCUCUGACAACAACUCAAAUUAUUUUUCCAUAACCAUAUUAAAACAAAUACCGAAUAAUUGAAAUAUAUUCAAAAUUUUAAAUUAAAUUAAGUUUGGAUCAAACUCACUGAUGAUAUAUGAUUUACCUAAAGUGAAAUAAGAACUCGAAAAUAUAAAAUUUAUGGGUAAAUUUUCGUUUUGGUCACUUAAUUAAAAAAUUAUAAUUUGGUUAUUAAACUAUUCAAAAGUUUUAUUUUAAGUCAUUGGAUUGUUAAAAUUUAUAUUAUACGACUUUCUCUAUUCGCAGUGCAUGCAUCAAUUGAAAGCUCUCUUUUUCCUUCAUUUUUACAGUUCAUUUUCUAUUUUUAUGUAAAAACUUUGGACGUCAUAAAUCUGUAGACCAAAAUUUAAACAUUUUUUGCUCUGAUUUCCAACAUCGACCAUCAAAUCAAUUUAGAUCUAAGGUAUAUUUUUCUACUCAUUAAUGGAAUAAUGGGUAUCGAUCCAUCGUAUCGAUUGUUGACACCAUUUUUUGGAUGAAAACGGAGUCGACUUGGGUUUGAAAAUGAAAACGAAAAACAAGGUGUCGCGACCGAUCCUUUUUGAUGAGGUGUGAUCGGGUCACCUCGUAAAAGUGGUUGUUUUUAAUAAACGGUUUAAUUUUAUUAAAACAACGAGUUUGGUCCACGAAAUUUAGAAAAACAGGUUCGGGAGUCGGUUACGCACGAGGAAGGAUUAGCACCCUCGAUACGCCCAAAAUUGGUACCCAGUUGAUUACUUAAUGUCUUAAUGUCGAAAAUUGAAAACUUUGAAGAAUUUUAAAAAAUACGAUCCUUGUAUUAAAACGUUGAAAAUUUUCAAGAAAAUGAGGAUAUUUCACGUUAUUCGAGAAAGAGAAUCAUAUCCAGUAAGUUAGGACACAAUGUCUCGAAUUUCCGAUACGCGAAUGAAAAAUGCUUAUUUAAAAGAUAUUUAGCUAUCUCGGAUUUAAAAAAGAGAUCACGACCAGUAAGUUAGAACACGAUCUUUUUUAUUCCCGAGAUCAUUUAAAACUUAAGUUUGAAAAGAUUCGUGUAAUAAAGUUUAAAAGAAUAUUCAAUUGUUUAAAUCAAAUGAAGAAAUUGCAACCCAAUACGUUAGAGCACAAUUUCUCAAAAUAUUAAACACUGAAUAUUGCAUUUAUUUCGAAAAAUCCUCGUCUCGAGGAACCACGUGUCAUGUCCAAUGCAUUAGGACGCAACGUAUUCAAUUCUUGAUAACGAACUUUUUAUCAUUUUUUUAAAAGAGUAAUCUCGAUUAUUUAAGUUCAACGAAGAAAGUCGGAACCCAAUACGUUAGGGCUCGAUUCUCUCGAAGAUCCAAAAUAACGAAUAUUACUUAUUUCUAAAAUUUCUUUUUCGAAAUCUAAAUAAAAAUGGGUGUAAUGGAUUAACGAUGAUAAUAAUGUAAGUAAAAUAAUAAUAUGAGCAAUAGCAUCAAAGAUAAGAUAAAAUAAAAAAGGACAAAUCAAUAGCAUACAGAAUAAAUAUAUAAGCAAAUAAAGUUAAAGCAUUCGUUUAAAAUAAUAAUGAAAAUGUAAAUAAAGAGAUAAACAAAAAAUGAACAAAACUAUAUAAAAAAUAAAAGAUAUAUAUAUUAUAUGCAUAAAUACAUUUGUACAAAAAAAAGGAUAUGUAAGUUGAAAUAUAGAAAAAUAUACGUAAGAAAAAAAUAGGUUUUUAAAACAUAAAAAGUAUGUAUAAAUAUGUUUAUAUGUAAUAAAAACACGUAUGUAUAUAUGAAAUACAACAAUAAUAAAGUAUAAAUAUGUACAUUUAUAUAAAUGGAAAAAGUAGAUAUGUAUAUGUAUAUAUAUAUUAUAAAGCAUAAAAAUAAGUAUUUAUAUAAAUAAAAAUUCGUAUGUAUAUACAUAUAUAUUACAUAAAGAUAAAAGGUAUAAGUAUGUAUAUUAUAAAAUAAAACCGUGCAAGUAUGUACAUAUAUAGAUGAAUUAUAAAGUAAGUAAAAUAUGAGUAUGUAUAUAACAAAGUCUAAAACGGUAUAAAUAGGUAGAUCAAAUGCAAUAAUAAUAAUAAUAAUAAUAAAUUAAAUAAUAAAAAGGGCUAAAUUGAAAACAAAACAAAAUAAGAGAGGAAAAAAAUCAAAAAUGAAAAGAAGUCAAGGAUUAAUCCGUGACGCGCUUGAAAGGAGAGGGACCGAGGCUGCAAAUAAACCGAAGCCCCCAAAACGCAGCGCAGCAGUGGACUAAAUUGAAACAAAAAUAAAACUUUGUGGCCAAAUUAAAAAUAAAAGAAAAUGCGAAAAGGGGCCAAAUUGCGACACACUUCAAAGUCAGAGGGACUGCGUGCGCAAAUAUCCCCUUUAGCGAAAACACGCUGAUCCUCCCCUCGGGUCGGAUCACCGCGCGGGUCAAGGGAGCCUUAAACGUCGCCGUUUUGAAAUUCCUAUAAAAGCUAAUUUUUUUCUGCUAUUUCAUUUCUUAAAAAAAAACAUAAGAAAAAACAAAAGGGUCUUCCCCUUUCUCUGCUAGGGUUCCAAACUUGGAACCCCGCCGCCGUCUGCCGCAUCUCCAUCGCAGCGCCACCAAGGACGGUGGCCGGAGUCGUGCGAGAAAAAGGGAUUUUUAACCCUCAUCGUGUGGCAUCCUUGAGAUCUCAGAUCUCUCAACCCGCGGGAAAGAGGGAAACCCACAACCCCUCUCGGACCCGAAUCGGCGACGGAGGAGAAGCCCUCCGACGGCGCAACCACGGUGGUUCCCGGUGAGUCCCCUUUCCCUUUUUAUUUUCUAUUUAAUGUACGAAAUAAAGAAAAUAAAAUAAAUAAAUAAAGAAAUGCGAAUCUGAUAUCAAGCCUUGAAUCUAUUUUUUUGAUUGUUUUAUUUAUAUGAAAAUGUUACAAAAGAAAAGAAAAAGCCCCCCGAUUCAGUGAUGAAGCCCCCUCUUACAAUCAAAAUCCCUAUAUUCUACUGCUAUUGUGUCUUUUCUUUUGUAGGUGGAGCAGGUGAGGGCGUCGGUGGCAAGUGGGCAUGGUGAUGGGACGUAUGCGGCGGCCAGCAGAGCUAGGGUGCAGAGGGCUGCAGCGCUAGGGUUUCUUUUCUGAAACCCUAGCUUGACUUUUGGGGAAUUGGGCUCCGAAUUUGGGCCUCGGGUUUGGGUUAGGCUAGUUGGGUUUAUUGUAUUGGGUUGUAACUGGAAUUGGAUCAUUUGGGUUUGGGUGGUUUGGGCUGAGUCUGUUGGGUUAUUGGGCUGAUGUUUGUUAGUUUAGGGUUAAUUGGGCCCAGGCAUAAAAAUUGGGCUUGUACAAUAAAUAUAUAUUUUUUAUUUUUAUUUUUUAAUUUUAAAAUACGUUAAAAAUAUUUUUUUUUAUUUUUAAAAUAUUUUUUUUGUGUUUAUUAAAAAUCGGGCUGGGCCCGGGCUUAUUAUUUUUUUCUCGGGCCGGGCCUGGGAAAAAUUUCAGGCCCAUAUUUCGGGCCGGGCCGGGCCCGGGCCUAAGAGUCGGGCCAAAUUUUUUCCCGGGCCCGGCCCGAACCCGGCCCGGCCCAUGGACAGGUCUAGUGACAGUACAAAUGGGUUUUAAAUGCCAACUACGAUGUCCAAUUAUUAGGACAAAAAUAGGUUUUUAAUUAAAUAAAUUAAAUUUAGACUGCCACGUAGGACCGUCAUAAGGGAGGUAAGAGAGCUUAAUGAUAGAGUGACCAAUUCGUAACAGAACGAUAACAUUAGUGACUAAAACGUAACAUUUCAAACUUAAGUGACUAAAAUGUAAUCUGAAGCAAAUAAAAGUGACUGUUUUAAAGUUUACCCUUAAUGUAAUUAUUGGCGGAUGAUCUGGCCGCACCGACAAACAGCAGAAAUUGAGUCAUUUUCGUAAUUAUUUACAAAAUUUGGGUUACUUUUGUAAAAAAACCAGAGAAGAGAACCUCGCCUCUUCUUAAGAUAGCCGGACACUUUCUAACUUUCCCUUCUUUCAGUUUUUCAUCAACAGGUUUGCCUCUUACCAGAACAUCAAUGGAUGUUAGUGUAAAGAGAUGGAGCAUGAUACGCCCUGCCCAAGAUACUCCUAAAGAAAGGCAAUGGAUUUCAAAUCUGGACAUGGUGAUAACAACAUACCAUGUCCCUUUGCUGUUUUUCUACAAACCAAAUGGCUCCUCUGAUUUCUUUAAGCCUCAAGUGCUACAGGAGGCUUUAAGCAAGACUCUUGUGCAAUUCUAUCCUAUGGCUGGGAGGUUGGGACAUGAUGAAAAUGGUAGGCUCGAGAUAUUAUGCAACGCAGAGGGUGUUCUGUGGAUAGAAGCUGAAACUACAUCGGCCAUGGAUGAUCUCGACGGUUUUACUCCCUGCUCAAAACUGAGGAAACUGGUUCCCACGGCUGAUUACUCUGGAGAUAUCAGUUCUUAUCCGCUUAUUAUGGCUCAGGUAAGUGAAUGAAGAACUAUUAUCUUAUUGUAGAUGAUAACUGUUACUUGCAGUAGGAGACCAAGGAUAAGCUCUGAGAAAACUCAAACAGUCUGAUACUGAAGUUAUAGCACAAGAAAAACUAAGCUAUCAGCUAAGAAGUUGAUAUAUGGCUUUUUUUUCUCAAAACUGACUUAAAAGAAUCGAUUAAUUAUGAAAAUUACCCAGGUAUAAUAUCUUAUAUGAGAAUGACCCGUUUUCUACCGUAAAAAUUGGUACCGCUAGACUAUUUAGCGGUACCGAUAUUUUUGUAAAAGUAUUACCAUCAACAAAUUAUCGAUAUAUACUUUCCAUUCAUCUUCACAAGAAAGUGCUAAUUACGGAGGUCCAUGGUGGUGGCUUAGUAGUGAUGAAGAUGAAACCAAAACCCUUUUCUCUUCAAUGAACCUCUGGUUUGACUCAUUUGUAAUAAUUAUUUUCGCUCGUUGGAUACACCCGCAUUUUAAAUGGAAAACUGUAAUAAUCCUCACCGAAGAAAAGCAAAGAACAAGAUUAAUCAAAGCGAACAAUAUUGUUACAAAUGAGUUAGGAGAGAGGUUCAUUGAAGAGAAAAGGGUUUCGAUUUCAUCUUCUUCACUGCUAAGCCACUGCCAUGGAACUCUUAGACCUUUCUCAUGAAGCUAAACGAUACCAUCAACAAAGUAUAUCCUUUUUACAAAACUAACAUCGGUGCCAACAAUGAGUCCGGCAACAUUCAAAAAAUAUAUUUUUUUAAAAAACAUGGGGUGGUGCUUCAAUGGAAAUGGUGGCACCAAAUUUUAUGAUAGAAAAUGGGUUAUUCUCGUACAAAAUUUUACACUUGAGUCAUUUUUAUAAUUAAUAAAAAUUUUUGGUCAAUUUUGAAAAAAAAAACUUAAUGUUUUUGUUUCGAAAAGGUCAAUUGUUGAGUGUAUAUUUUGCUAGGUAACUACUCUUAAAUGCGGUGGAGUUUGUCUUGGAAUAGCAACUCAUCAUACUUUGACUGAUGGCACAACGACCUUACAUUUCAUUAAUAGUUGGUCUGAAAUGGCAAGAGGCUUGCCCCAAAUUAGCAUGCCACCACUUAUUGACCGAACCCUUCUCCGAGCAAGAGUGCCACCAAUCCCUAGAUUUCAUCAUCUCGAAUAUGACCGACCUCCUUCCUUAUACACCUCUACGUCACUUGGCCCUAAUAACCAUAAACCCUCAACUGUAUCUGUUUUCAAGAUCACACAAAAUCAACUUAAUACCCUAAAAGCCAAGUCAUGGGAACAUGGAAACAAAACCAAUUACAGCACCUACACCAUUCUAGUUGCAUACAUAUGGCGCUGUGCAACUAAAGCUUGGGACCUCUCAUAUGAUCAGCCAACCAAGUUACACAUCCCAACUGAUGGACGCCCCAGACUACAUCCUCCCCUCCCAUCAACGUACUUGGGCAACGCAAUGUUUGCGGCUUCAUUAAUUGCUCUAUCUAGAAAUCUGCAAUCAGAACCGUUUGUAAAUACCCUAGAACGAGUUCAUGGAACAUUGCAAAGGAUGAAUAAUGAGUAUCUAAGAUCAGCUCUUGACUACCUAGAAACACUGCCAGAUAUAACAGUUGCCAGGAGAACACCGGACACUUACCAUUGCCCAAACCUAAGUAUCAACAAAUGGACACGACUGUCUUUAUAUGAUGCAGAUUUUGGAUGGGGUCGACCAAUAUACAUGGGUCCAGCAAACAUUGUCCAUGAAGGAAAAAUAUACAUACUACCAAGUCCAACCAAUGAUGGGAGCUUGUCAUUGGUAGCAUGCCUACAGACUGCUCAUAUGAAACUCUUCGAGAAACAUCUAUACGAAGGCUUGAAGUCAUUUGACAAGAUCAAAGCUCGAUAUUAGUUGUUUGUUCUCUCUAACAAUAUAUGUAUAAACCUAUAAAUCUUCUACUUCUGUUUCUUUAACUAAGACUUUUUGUUUGGAUCCUGUUUAUUUGAAAUUUACCAUCUAAGCUGGCUUGGCGAACAGGUCUUUUAUUGGUAAUUAUUGUACUAUACCUCGAUAAUAGUAGUAUCAUUGAUCGCAAAGAAAUAAUAAAGAAAAAUAAGAAUACACAGAUUUUACGUGGAAAAGUCUUAUUAGGAAAAAAAAUCACGAGCAGAGUAAAAAUUCACUAAUGUUGAAAAAUACUAAUACAAGAAGUUUUUUUGACUACACAUUUUAACGGUUAAAUAACAUUUUUAUAAUCAACGUUUAAUAGAAGAUCGCCCCCACAUAUCCCCCAAAUUUGCAAUUCUAUUUUAUUUCUUUAACAAACAAGUUGCACCUCGAAUUUUUCUGAUUGGAUCAAACGGGGUUCAGAUCAAACAGCUCUAACAACAACUCAAAUUAUUUGUCCAUAACCAUAUUAAAACAAAUACCGAAUAAUUGAAAUAUAUUCAAAAUUUUAAAUUAAAUUAAGUUUGGAUCAAACUCACUGAUGAUAUAUGAUUUACCUAAAGUGAAAUAAGAACUCGAAAAUACAAAAUUUAUGGGUAAAUUUUCAUUUUGGUCACUUAAUUAAAAAAUUAUAAUUUGGUUAUUAAACUAUUCAAAAGUUUUAUUUUAAGUCAUUGGAUUGUUAAAAUUGAUAUUAUAUGACUUUCUUUGUUCACAGUGCAUGCAUCAAUUGAAAGCUCUCUUUUUCCUUCAUUUCUACAGCUCAUUUUCUAUUUUUAUGUAACAACUUUGGACGUCACAAAUUUGCAGACCAAAAUUCAAACAUUUUUUGCUCUGAUUUCCAACAUGGACCAUCAAAUCAAUGUAGAUCUAAAUUAUAUUUUUAUACUCAUUAAUGGGUACUGAUCCACCAUAUCGAUUGUUGAAUCCUUACUUGGAGCUCGUUAGUGGAACUUAAAAAACAACUUAAUAUAUAGCCUAGUGACUUAAAUGAAAAUUUUUGAAUUUAGUGGCCAAACCAAAAACUUUCCUAUAAUUUAAUGACUAAUGGUAUAGUUUACGCACUUCCUCUUGGCCCAAUUGAAGUUUUUGGUACUCCCACACACUAGUAAAAAAGUUUUAAUAGUAGAAAUGUAUGAAAUUUUUAAUAGAAAGUACCAUUUUACUUUUUGAUCUAUAUACAGAGAUUAAUUUGCCAAUUUUUUAAAUAAAUGGGGUAAAAUGUAAUUUGACUUUUAAUAUAAAAAUCUCCAUGGUAUGUUUACCUUGAAAUUAUCAAUAAAAACUAAUAAAUAUAAAAUGAAACAGUUAAUAAUAUAUCAAAUAUCCACGAGGUGAUAGGUGAUUUUAAAAUUUAACAUUUACAACUUAAUGGGCUAGUGACAAGGCCAAGCAAACCAUUAGUGGAUUGGUAACAAAUUUGGUAAUAUUUCAACGAUCCAAUUGUUUAAUAUAUCGAUAUAACUGUAUUUGGUAUGCAUGAAAAUUUUCGAACCGAUCCGAUAUUUCUGACAUAUUGAUCCAAAAUAUUGUAUAUAUUGAACUAUUAAAAGUUUUUAUAUAAAAUAAAUAGUUAGUUUUUUUUUUAAUUUACAUCAAAUUUGACAUGCAUAAUAUGACAAUUGAAUCAUUAAAAUAUGGGUAAACUACACCCAUGGUCACUUUUGUUUACCUUAGGUUACAUUUCAGUCACUUAUGUUUGAAAUGUUACAUUUUAGUCACUUACGUUAUCGUGUUGUAAUAUUUUAGUCACUGAGCCGUUAAUUGCCGUUAAUGGUGUAAUGGUAAGCUGACGUGGCACGUUAAAUCAUCAUUUCAAACAAAAACUUUAGGUUAAAUUAUACAAUUGGUCACCAUAAUUUUUCGUUUUGAGCAAUUUAAUUCUUUUAUGUUCUUUUAACUUUCUUUUUUUUUUCUUUUUUUCUUUUCUCUUCUGCUUCACCCUAUGUUUUUCUACCUUCUUUAUUUCUUUUAACAUACCAGGAAGUCGAAUUGGUAGUGAAGAAAGAAGCAUGAUAUGGGUUUAUGGGUUUUGGUUAUAGGGUUUUGGUUAUAGGCAAAUGAUGACAGUCGACUUCCUACUUCUUUUUUCAUUGCCAAUUCGACUUCCUAAUAUGUUAAAAGAAAUGGGAAAGGUAUGAAAACAGAGGGAGAAACAAAAGAGAAUGAAAAAGAGAGAGGAAAGUUUAAAGAACAUAAAAAAAAUUAAAUUACUAAAAACGAAAAAAAUAUGGGGAUCAAUUGUAUAAUUUAACCUAAAAUUUUGUUUGAAAUGAUGAUUUAACGUGCCACGUCAACUUACCGUUACACCAUUAACGACGAUUAAUGGCUCAGUGACUAAAAUGUUACAACUUGAUAACGUAAAUGACUAAAACGUAACCUAAAGUAAACAAAAGUGACCAUGAGUGUAGUUUACCCUUAAAAUAUUAAUCGUAUAAAAAAAUAAAAUACAUAUUUUAAAUUUAAUAUAAAAAUGUUUAAAAAACACUAAAAUAAAUUAAUAAAAUUCUCAAUGACUUUUGGGUUUAAAUCACAAUUAUCGAAACAGGACAAAUCGAAAAUUAAUUAAUGUAUAAAUUUGGAAUAAGAGGAUUAAUUAUCUCACAAAUUGGUUAAAUCAACCAAUCAGAUCAAUUUUUUUCAUUUUUAAAUUUUUUAAUAAUUUAUUUAAUUAAAUUAAUCAAAUCAAUCAAAUCGGAAUUAGAAUCUAAUUCUAAACACUUUGCUUUGUUAUGUCAAAGCCAUAUGUUUUUUUUACACCUUAUUUAUUCCGCAAAUUAUUGUCCGCACAUGUCAACUCUUUAUCAUCUUUUAAUGACGUGUAUGGUAUAGAUAGCCUAUCUGCAUUUUUUUUUAUUUGCCAAAUUCUUUUAUUAUUCCUUGUAUUAUAAUUAGUUUGUGAAUUUAAUCUCUAUAUUAAAAUAAAAUGUCAAUUUUAGUCCUUAUACUUUUUAGCAUUUAAAAUUUUAAUCCUCCACAAAGAGUAGUAAUUAAAUAUGUUUGUUAAUUUAUGUCGUUAAUCUUUUACACAGUAUAAAGUUAUUCCACGUUCUCUAAUUUGAUCAUUCAUAAUCCUUAUAUUUUUUGAAUUUUUAAAUUUUAACAAGCUGAUAUGAUAUUACAUAUAUGAUAAUAUUUUUGACGUAUAAGAUUUUGAAAAUAAUAAAACUACUUAAUGAAUUUAAUGGUUAUCGUUUAUAUCAAGAUUGAAAUUUCAAAAUUAGAAAAAUAUACGGACUAAAAUGAUUAAAUUAAAGUACAUAGACUAAAUUUAUAACUUGUCUAUUGCACAAGUACUAAUAGCAAGAUUUAACCUAUUUUUACAUUUAAAUAUGUAAAAGUAUCACCCAUCCACUGCCUUCCAAGAGAGAAGAUAAGCGUUUUUUUAGCAAUAAAAGAAAUAAUAAUUACCUGAUAAAUUAUUUUAUGGACAUUUUUCACGAUAUCUUCCAUGAUCCCGUCCUAUUAGAAGAUGACACAUCAUCUUUUUUUGACACAUCAUAUGUACAUUUAGACUAAACUCCCAAAUGAAAGAUGAAGUGUCUUGUUUUAAUUGGGAGGAACUAUGGAUGAUGGGGUGGAAAAUGUCUAUAAAAUAAUUUCUCAUUAUUACCUUGUCUUCGAACACAAAAACACAAGCAUUAGCAUACAGAUUUUGCCCAUCCGCUACCUCCCAAUAGACAAGAUAGGUUUUUUUUUAAUUAACUCAAUUUUUUUGAUUAAUUACGAAAAUAAUCAACUUAAAAAUUACAUACGUAAAUGAUUUGAUUUUUACAGUGUUUGUCGAUGCUUCCAGACACAUCGGCGGCACAAGUCUCAUCAUCGACCAAUAAUUGUAUUAUUUUAAAGAUUUUCAAUUCAUUCCCUAACAUAUUUAAAUUUAUAUAAAUUGAGAUAAUUUUUUGAAGGAUAUAUUUGGGUAAUUUAAAUAAGACUUUUAACUUUAUUGUUUCUAAAAAAAUAAAAAUAAUUUAUUUUUGUUAUUCUUAUAUUUUUAAGGGCUAUUUAAAUAUAAUUUUAAAAAUAUAUAUACUUAACACGCAAAUAAAUAAAAAAUUAACAAGCAUCAAAUUUGGUGCCGACAUGGUGCACUAAAAAGUUAUUAUUUUCUGGGUAAAUUACAGUAAUAGUCACUUUUAUUUACCUCAUUAUAUUUUAGUUAUUUAUGUUUGAAAUAUUACAUUUUAGUCACUUACGUUAUCAUUUUGUUAUUAAGUGGUCACUCCACCGUUAAACUUCGUUACCUCUCUAACGGUAGUCCUACGCGACAGUACAAAUGGGUUUUAAAUACCAACUACGAUGUUCAAUUGUUGGGACGAAAAUAGGUUUUUAAUUAAAUAAAUUUAAUUUAGACUGCCACGUAAGACCAUCAUUAGGGAGGUAAGAGAGCUUAAUGAUAGAGUAACCAAUUCGUAAUAAAAUGAUAACAUAAGUGACUAAAAUGUAAUAUUUUAAACUUAAGUGACUAAAAUAUAAUCUGAAGCAAAUAAAAGUGACUGAUUUAUAGUUUACCCUUAAUGUAAUUAUUGGCGGAUGAUCUGGCCGCACCGACAAACAGUAGAAAUUGAGUCAUUUUCGUAAUUAUUCACAAAAUUUGGGUUACUUUUAUAAAAACCCGAAAAGAGAACCUCGCCUUUGCUUAAGAUAGACGAGCACUUUCUGACCUUCCCUUCUGUUGGGUUUUCAUCAACAGGUUUGCCUCUUAAUUACCAGAACAUCAAUGGAUGUUAGUGUAAAGAGAUGGAGCAUGAUACGCCCUGCUCAAGAUACUCCUAAAGAAAGGCAAUGGAUUUCAAAUCUGGACGUGGUGAGGCCAACAUUCCAUGUCCCUUUGCUGUUUUUCUACAAACCAAAUGGCUCCUCUGACUUCUUCAAGCGUCAAGUGCUACAGGAGGCUUUAAGCAAGACUCUUGUGCAAUUCUAUCCUAUGGCUGGGAGGUUGGGACGUGAUGAAAAUGGUAGGCUCGAGAUAUUAUGCAACGCAGACGGUGUUCUGUGGAUAGAAGCUGAAACUACAUCGGCCAUGGAUGAUCUCGACGGUUUUACUCCCUGCUCAAAACUGAGGAAACUGGUUCCCACGGCUGAUUACUCUGGAGAUAUCAGUUCUUAUCCGCUUAUUAUGGCUCAGGUAAGUGAAUGAAGAACUAUUAUCUUAUUGUAGAUGAUAACUGUUACUUGCAGUAGGAGACCAAGGAUAGGUUCUGAGAAAACUCAAACAGCCUGAUACUGAAGUUAAAGCACAAGAAAAACUAAGCUAUCAGCUAAGAAGUUCAUAUAUACACGAGAAUGACCCGUUCUCUACCGUAAAAGUCGGUGCCGCUAGACUAAUUAGUGACACCAAUAUUUUUGUAAAAGUAUUACCAUCAACAAAGUAUCGAUACUUUCCGUUCAUCUUCACAAGAAAGUGCUAAUUAUGGAGGUCCACGGUGGUGGCUUAGUAGUGAAGAAGAUGAAACCAAAACCCUUUUCUCUUUAAUGGAUCUCUGGUUUGACUCAUUUGUAAUAAUCAUUUUCGUUCGUCGAAUACGACCGCAUUUUAAAUGGAAAACUGUAAUAAUGAUCCUCACUGAAGAAAAGCAAAGAACAAGAUUAAUCAAAGCGAACAAGAUUAUUACAAAUAGACCUGUACAUAGGCCGGGCCGGGUCGGGUUCGGGCUAGGCUCACAAAAAUUUCAGCCCGUUUACUAGGCCCGGGCCAGGCCCGGCCCGAAAUAUAGACAUGAGAUUUUGCCUAGGCCCGGCCCGAAGAAAAAAUAUGGGGCCCGAGCCCGGCCCGUUUUUAAUUAAAAUUAAAAUUAUUUUUUUAAUAAAAUUAAAAUUAAUUGCUAUUAAAAUUAAUUGUUAGUAAAAUUAUCAAAUUAUUAAUUGUUAAUUGUAUUAAUUGUUGUAAUAAAAUCUAACAUUUGAUUAGUAAAUUUAUCAAAUUAUUAAUUGUAUUAAUUGUUGUAACAAAAUCUAACAUUUGAUUAGUAAAACAAACUUGAUGUUUUAUUAUUAUUAUUUUGUAACACUAGUCAAGGAAAUGAAAGUAAAUAAACUUAAAAUAAAAAACUAUUACAUUUUAAAAAUAAAAAAUAUAUAUUUAAUAUUUUUCGGGCCGGGCCGGGCCGAGCCCGGGCCAAAAAAUCUUGCCCGAGGCCUGGCCCAUUUUUUAAACGAGCCUAAAAUUUUGCCCAAUCCCAUAUUUCGGGCAUAUAUUUUACCCAAACCCUCCCAUAUUUUGGGCGGGCCGUCGGGCCGGGCCGGGCCGCCCGGCCCAUGGACAGGUCUAAUUACAAAUGAGCCGGGCGAGAGGUUAAUUGAAGAGAAAAUGGUUUCAAUUUCAUCUUCUUAACUGCUAAGCCACCACCAUGGAACCCUUAGCACUUUUUCGUGAAGCUAAAUGAUACCAUCAACAAAGUAUUGAUCCUUUUUACAAAACUGGCAUUGGUGCCACCAAUGAGUCCGGCGACAUUCAAAACAAAUAUAUUUUUAAAAAACAUGGGGUGGUGCCUUCAAUGGGAAUGAUGGCACCAAAUUUUAUGAUAGAAAAUGGGUUAUUCUUGUACAAGAUUUUACACUUAGUCAUUUUUUAUAAUUAAUCAAUCUUUUUUGGUCAAUUUAAAAAAAAAACCUUAAUAUUUUUGUUUCAAAAAGGUCAAUUAUUGAGUGUAUAUUUUGCUAGGUAACUACUCUUAAAUGCGGUGGAGUCUGUCUUGGAAUAGCUACUCAUUGUACUUUGGCUGAUGGCACAACGACCUUUCAUUUCAUUAAUAGUUGGUCUGAAAUGGCAAGAGGCCUGCCCCAAAUUAGCAUGCCACCACUUAUUAACCGAACCCUUCUCCAAGCAAGAGUGCCACCAAUCCCUAAAUUUCAUCAUCUCGAAUGUGACCUACCUCCUUCUUUAAACACCUCUACGUCACUUGGCCCUAAUAACCAUAAACCCUCAACUAUAUCUAUUUUCAAGAUCACACAAAAUCAACUUAAUACCCUAAAAGCCAAGUCAUGGGAACAUGGAAACAAAACCAAUUACAGCACCUACACCAUUCUAGCUGCAUACAUAUGGCGCUGUGCAACUAAAGCUCGGGGCCUCUCAUAUGACCAGCCAACCAAGUUAAACAUGCCAAUUAAUGGACGUCCUAGACUACAUCCUCCCCUCCCAUCAACGUACGUGGGUAAUGCAGUGUUUGCGGCUUCAUUAAUUGCUCUAUCUUGAAAUCUGCAAUCAGAACCGUUUGUAAAUACCCUAGAACGAGUUCAUGGAACAUUGAAAAGGAUGAAUAAUGAGUAUCUAAGAUCAGCUCUUGACUACCUAGAAACACUGCCAGAUAUAACAGCUGCCACGAUAAAACCAGGCACUUACCAGUGCCCAAACCUAAAUAUCAACAAAUGGACACGAUUGUCUAUAUAUGAUGCAGAUUUUGGAUGGGGUCGACCAAUAUACAUGGGUUUAGCAAACGUUGUCGAGGAAGGAAAAAUAUUCAUACUACCAAGUCCAACCGAUGAUGGGAGCUUGUCACUGGUAGCAUGCCUACAGAUUGCUCAUAUGAAACUCUUCGAGAAACAUUUAUACGAAGGCUUGAAGUCAUUUAACAAGAUCAAAGCUCGAUAUUAGUUGUUUGUUCUCUCUAUCAAUAUAUGUAUAAACCUAUAAAUCUUCUACUUCUGUUUCUUUAACUAAGACUUUUUGUUUGGAUCCUGUUUAUUUGAAAUUUACCAUCUAAGCUGGCAUGGCGGACAAGUCUUUUAGGCAGAAUAGAAAUUCACUAAUGUUGAAAAACAACAAUGCAAGAG
This 14961-nucleotide long non-coding RNA is filed under the name Gossypium barbadense (sea-island cotton). RNAcentral's name for it is "long non-coding RNA (GBAR_LNC017461)". Lineage: Eukaryota; Viridiplantae; Streptophyta; Magnoliopsida; Malvales; Malvaceae. The record is from RNAcentral.